GAUGAAGAACGUAGCGAAAUGCGAUACGUAAUGUGAAUUGCAGAAUUCAGUGAAUCAUCGAAUCUUUGAACGCAUAUUGCGCUCUCUGGUAUUCCGGAGAGCAUGCUUGUUUGAGUAUCAGUAAACACCUCAACUCUUUUUUCUUUUUUGAAAUUGGAGUUGGACUUGAGUGAUCCCAACGCUUUCUUCCAAGAAAGUGGCGGGUUGCUUGAAAUGCAGGUGCAGCUGAACUUUUCUCUGAGCUAUAAGCAUAUCUAUUUAGUCUGCCUAAAAAACAGAUUAUUACCUUUGCUGCAGCUAACAUAAAGGAGACUAGUUCUUGUGCUGACUGAUGCAGGAUUCACAGAGACAGCUUCGGCUGACUUUGUAAACUCGAUCUCAAAUCAAGUAAGACUACCCGCUGAACUUAAGCAUAUCAAUAAGCGGAGGA
RNAcentral lists this unclassified non-coding RNA (430 nucleotides) under soil metagenome. RNAcentral describes it as "partial contains 5.8S ribosomal RNA, internal transcribed spacer 2, and large subunit ribosomal RNA". The stretch from base 1 to 120 matches the Rfam family "5.8S ribosomal RNA", at positions 35 to 154 of the family's 154-position model. The record is from RNAcentral.